Long non-coding RNA from Panicum hallii, 941 nucleotides. RefSeq lists it as uncharacterized. The transcript has 3 exons. The record is from RefSeq and is a predicted model, not a curated record. Lineage: Eukaryota; Viridiplantae; Streptophyta; Magnoliopsida; Poales; Poaceae.
GGAUUACCGCUCGUAUACGCGCCAUCCCCUCCCUAUCCCUUCGUUACUCUCACCGCGGCCGCCGCAUUCUCGUUCAUGCUCCUCUCCGUUCUCGGUUCUCUUUUCUACUGGUCGUCGAUUGCUUCCUCUAAUCUCUCCCUUCUCCUUCUUUCUUUAUUCUGCAGUGGUAGAUCUUUUAUCGGUAACUAAUAUGUGCGCGGGAAACAGUCAAAUGAUUUCCCCUGAUUUUUUUUGUUCCCCAUCCCUUUCCCUCAUCAGAUCUUGCAAUUGGAUGCAAAUUUCGUUUGAUUCCUUGUUAGUUACGUCUAGAUUCACUUUUCCUUCUCAAAUUUGCACUGCAGGGAUUGGAUUCGUGUUCUUGCCUUGCCCCUAGCACUGCUGCCGGUGGUAACAAGAAAUCCACUUCCCCUUCUCUGAAUUUUGACCGUUCUAUGCCCAAGGAGAUUGUGGAGGUUGUCAUAGGUGGGAUCUGGUUGCUCUGAAGUUGUAGCUACCUCAGAGGAACGUUGAUAUCGUGAUACCGUUCAAUAGGCAUCCAACGGCAACACACAGGAAGCAGCGUUGCUCUGGUUUGGCCCAAAAUCGUGAUGUCCGGCCUGCUUGCUAAGGCCCAUUUGCGGAUGAAUCUGAGAGGUAAAACAAAUGCGCGAGACUGACGGGGAAAGGCGCCAGAGCGACAAAAACGGCGCGAGACCGACGGAAAAGAACGGGAGGAGCGUCUGACCGUCACCUCGCCGGACGCCUCGCCGAACCCACCGGCUCACUGUAAUUUUCCUCACGGCUCACUGUAAUUGAUCAAUUUGUCCGUCGAUAUUUUACCGUAAAAUCCAUCAAGGCAUAUCUUCAAGAUGGUAAGAUGUAGGUAGUGUGUCGCCGAUAUCAGAAACACAAAAGUACAAGGAACACAAAGUCCAGACAGGUUUGGGUCACUGAGAGCGUAA